Molecule: long non-coding RNA, 260 nt
Filed under: Chinchilla lanigera (long-tailed chinchilla)
Lineage: Eukaryota; Metazoa; Chordata; Mammalia; Rodentia; Chinchillidae
Description: lncRNA (ENSCLAG00000024839.1)
Source: RNAcentral
CUUUUAUGAAGAAAGAUCCAAGUAACUCACUACACUCUGUAACAGGAUUUUUAGACUGAGUAAGAACGAGACUCCAAAUCAUACCUUGAAGACUGGUCUUGAGUGAAACAGCAUCGGUUCUGGCUCUGAUGCCAAGAUCAUUGCCAAACUCAGAUUGGAAUCUGUGGGAGAUUCUUUUGCAGUGGGGGUGCAGGUGUGUGACCUGGCACCAGUCUGACAGAUACAUCACUAAAUCGGGAUGUGGCAGUGAGCAAUGGGAG